AGCAGUCGCCACGGUAAUACGAAGGGUGCAAGCGUUAAUCGGAAUUACUGGGCGUAAAGCGUGCGUAGGCGGUGAGUUAAGUCUGCUGUGAAAUCCCCGGGCUCAACCUGGGAAUGGCAGUGGAUACUGGCUCGCUAGAGUGUGUCAGAGGAUGGUGGAAUUCCCGGUGUAGCGGUGAAAUGCGUAGAGAUCGGGAGGAACAUCAGUGGCGAAGGCGGCCAUCUGGGACAACACUGACGCUUAGGCACGAAAGCGUGGGGAGCAAACAGGAUUAGAUACCCCCGUAGUCCCUGUCUCUUAUAC
Molecule: ribosomal RNA, 303 nt
Filed under: uncultured bacterium
Lineage: Bacteria
Description: partial 16S ribosomal RNA
Rfam family: Bacterial small subunit ribosomal RNA
Source: RNAcentral